AGUGAACGCUGGCGGUAGGCCUAACACAUGCAAGUCGAACGGCAGCACAGUAAGAGCUUGCUCUUACGGGUGGCGAGUGGCGGACGGGUGAGGAAUACAUCGGAAUCUACUUUUUCGUGGGGGAUAACGUAGGGAAACUUACGCUAAUACCGCAUACGACCUACGGGUGAAAGCAGGGGAUCUUCGGACCUUGCGCGAUUGAAUGAGCCGAUGUCGGAUUAGCUAGUUGGCGGGGUAAAGGCCCACCAAGGCGACGAUCCGUAGCUGGUCUGAGAGGAUGAUCCGCUACACUGGAACUGAGACACGGUCCAGACUCCUACGGGAGGCAGCAGUGGGGAAUAUUGGACAAUGGGCGCAAGCCUGAUCCAGCCAUACCGCGUGAGUGAAGAAGGCCUUCGGGUUGUAAAGCCCUUUUGUUGGGAAAGAAAAGCAGCAGGUUAAUACCCCGCUGUUCUGACGGUACCCAAAGAAUAAGCACCGGCUAACUUCGUG
This 492-nucleotide ribosomal RNA is filed under the name uncultured bacterium. RNAcentral's name for it is "partial 16S ribosomal RNA". It matches the Rfam family "Bacterial small subunit ribosomal RNA", at positions 29 to 507 of the family's 1533-position model. The record is from RNAcentral.